AAUACAUGAUGAGGGCAUUUUCUCAACAUUCCUUUGUAUGUCUCCCAUGCUUCAUAAAGUGACUCCCCAUCCUUCUGUGUAAAAGCAUGAAUAUCAUUCCUUAAC
Small nucleolar RNA from Arachis stenosperma, 105 nucleotides. NCBI's taxonomy places the organism in Eukaryota, Viridiplantae, Streptophyta, Magnoliopsida, Fabales, Fabaceae. The record is from RefSeq and is a predicted model, not a curated record.